UGUAGUCAACUCAAAAUUCAGUGUUUGCUUCUGUCAUAGCAGGGACUGUCUCAGAUGGGUGCUACAGUAGGCUCUGCCACAGGAGCUCCUAGGCCCCAGCCCUCUUUUCUGCGGCCUGGGGUUCAGUUGGCUAUGGAUACCU
Molecule: small nucleolar RNA, 142 nt
Filed under: Procavia capensis (Cape rock hyrax)
Lineage: Eukaryota; Metazoa; Chordata; Mammalia; Hyracoidea; Procaviidae
Description: Small nucleolar RNA SNORA5 (ENSPCAG00000020589.1)
Rfam family: Small nucleolar RNA SNORA5
About the family: ACA5 is a member of the H/ACA class of snoRNA that guide the sites of modification of uridines to pseudouridines.
Source: RNAcentral